CUAGCACUACAGGUGUUUCAGGCUGGG
This 27-nucleotide non-coding RNA is filed under the name Cricetulus griseus (Chinese hamster). Lineage: Eukaryota; Metazoa; Chordata; Mammalia; Rodentia; Cricetidae. The record is from RNAcentral.